ACCUCAGUGGUGUAGUGGUAGCACGUGUUGCCGGUAUGGAUAAAACGCAGGUUUUACUCCCGUCUGAGGUC
Molecule: non-coding RNA, 71 nt
Organism: Parelaphostrongylus tenuis
Lineage: Eukaryota; Metazoa; Nematoda; Chromadorea; Rhabditida; Metastrongylidae
Source: the annotation of a GenBank genome assembly